RNAcentral lists this ribosomal RNA (466 nucleotides) under uncultured bacterium. Its description in RNAcentral is "partial 16S ribosomal RNA". It matches the Rfam family "Bacterial small subunit ribosomal RNA", at positions 30 to 507 of the family's 1533-position model. The record is from RNAcentral.
CGAACGCUGGCGGCGUGCUUAACACAUGCAAGUCGAACGGAAAGGCCCUGCUUUUGUGGGGUGCUCGAGUGGCGAACGGGUGAGUAACACGUGAGUAACCUGCCCUUGACUUUGGGAUAACUUCAGGAAACUGGGGCUAAUACCGGAUAGGAGCUCCUGCUGCAUGGUGGGGGUUGGAAAGUUUCGGCGGUUGGGGAUGGACUCGCGGCUUAUCAGCUUGUUGGUGGGGUAGUGGCUUACCAAGGCUUUGACGGGUAGCCGGCCUGAGAGGGUGACCGGCCACAUUGGGACUGAGAUACGGCCCAGACUCCUACGGGAGGCAGCAGUGGGGAAUAUUGCACAAUGGGCGGAAGCCUGAUGCAGCAGCGCCGCGUGCGGGAUGACGGCCUUCGGGUUGUAAACCGCUUUCGCCUGUGACGAAGCGUGAGUGACGGUAAUGGGUAAAGAAGCACCGGCUAACUACGUG